This 636-nucleotide ribosomal RNA is filed under the name uncultured Cortinarius. RNAcentral describes it as "eukaryotic LSU rRNA". The stretch from base 235 to 388 matches the Rfam family "5.8S ribosomal RNA". The record is from RNAcentral. Lineage: Eukaryota; Fungi; Basidiomycota; Agaricomycetes; Agaricales; Cortinariaceae.
CUUGGUCAUUUAGAGGAAGUAAAAGUCGUAACAAGGUUUCCGUAGGUGAACCUGCGGAAGGAUCAUUAUUGAAAUAAACCUGAUGGGUUGUUGCUGGCUCUCUAGGGAGCAUGUGCACGCCUUGUCAUCUUUAUAUCUCCACCUGUGCACUUUUUGUAGACCUGAAAAGGUCCAUGUUGCUUCAUUUUACCCCAAUGUAUGUCUAUAGAAUGUUGUGCCUAUGAUAAUAUAUACAACUUUCAACAACGGAUCUCUUGGCUCUCGCAUCGAUGAAGAACGCAGCGAAAUGCGAUAAGUAAUGUGAAUUGCAGAAUUCAGUGAAUCAUCGAAUCUUUGAACGCACCUUGCGCUCCUUGGUAUUCCGAGGAGCAUGCCUGUUUGAGUGUCAUUAAUAUAAUCAACCUUCAACUUGUUUGAGUGGUUUGGAUGUGGGGGUUUGCUGGCCUUUCAAAGGGUUUCAGCUCCUCUGAAAUGCAUUAGCAGAACAAACCUUGUUCAUUGGUGUGAUAACUAUCUACGCUUAUGAAUGUGAGGGGCAGUUCAGCUUUCUAAUCGUCUUUGGACAAUUCAUCAUUAAUGUGACCUCAAAUCAGGUAGGACUACCCGCUGAACUUAAGCAUAUCAAUAAGCGGAGGA